Molecule: long non-coding RNA, 3311 nt
Filed under: Bemisia tabaci
Lineage: Eukaryota; Metazoa; Arthropoda; Insecta; Hemiptera; Aleyrodidae
Description: lncRNA ENSSSA1UGG005206
Source: RNAcentral
AUGAUAAGGCCGAGGUAUCUGGCUGCUUUGGACAGUGGUAUUGCUUGUCCAUUCAACACCAAGGGAAUGCGGACAAAGUUUCUAAGUGUGAAAACCACGUUUUCCGACUUAUUUGGAUUUAAUUUGGGCCCGUCAGCAUCCGUUCAUUCCUGGAUAUCAUCCAGGCUGACCUGCAGCAUGUCCACAGUUUCCUCGUAAGUUGGGGCGCUCGCGAACACUGAAGUAUCGUCCGCGAACACUCCCAGCUCAGAGUUUCCUCUAGGCUUUGAAAAAUGCCAUCAGUUUGGAGGUGAUUUGUUGAGGAUCAUCAGUUACAUUCACAAAUUUAUCCUUGAAACCAAACCAAGCAGCUAAGAUGGAAUCUAACUCCCCAGAGGAUAUUUUCAUCCAAGAAUCGUCAUCAGGAGGUGGUAAAUUCUUUUCUUGUUUUCUCAUUUUUUCUUCAUCUAUUUGCAAUGUGCCAAGGAGAUCCAAGAUCCGUUUACCGGUGACCGGCUGAGAUCGAUUUUCCAUUUCUAUGUAGUGAUCCUGAGCUGUGUGCUCGAGCAAACUGUACUCUUUUGAGCCUUCCAGUCAUUUCUUAAAAUACCCAUUUUUUAUUAAACUUUGCUUGUAUGUAUGCCAUCCUUUGUCGGUUUCCAAGUCUUGUUUAGACGCUGAUGUUACUUUCAUUGAGACACAAGUAUCUCAAACCCACAAGCAAUUUUGACUCCCAACAUGUGAGACCCGAAUGCGGGAUCUUUAGGGGGAGGUAAACGCCAGCCAACUCUUUUAUCUGGCAUAUAAUUUUGUUGAGAGAUCAGGGCGUAGAGGCAUUUUGAAAACUUAACACUGCGCAGAACAGAGGGUUGAGGAGGAAACUUCUUCAUUAAGCGACAUACCUUGACGUCAAUGGGAUCUCGGUGACAGAAGGCGAGAACAGCGGAUGAUAUUAGACAAGGACCAGCAUUCUAAUAAUGCAGCAACAGAGACUGGUAAAAACGCAUGAGCUUUGUGAAAAAGACUAGCCAUUUUUUCAGGAUAGCCAUGUAUUCUUUUACGAAUACAAUCCUGCACUGAUUGACUGGCUCUGGUCCACUCAGGAUGGUUUCUAAUUUGCUCAUGAAAAUCAGCCGAUGCUGGAGUUUUGUCAUUUUCAGGAGGCACAAGAUGAAUUUCUCCUUGAAAGAUAAAUACUCGCCCUUCACAUUUUUCAGGCACCGCCCAACGAAGUAGAUAAUCAGCUGCUUUAAAAAGUAAAAAUUCACCAUCAACGUCAGCGACUCUUGCUACUAAUCCAGGCAUAUCUUCAGUUAGCCGCAUAAGUAAGAAGACUAUUAACCAUUCAUCCUCAAUAUUAUCUCCAUAGUGUGUUAUGCCAUACAAAUGGGCAGGAAGCUCUGUGCAUGAAAUGAUAAGUGCGGAUAUGGAGGAGACGUUGGGCAAUCCUUUGCUAAGAAAAAGGGGAAAACAGCUCAGGUACAUCCGCCGCAGCUCGUAGAUCCAAGUGAAGAAAGGUUUCUCUCCAAAAUUUGCAAAUUGACGUCAUAGGGAGGCUCUCUGGUUGAAAGGGGGGAGGGGAACUGAUUGCAAGAACGGUGCAAUCAAGAGAAACUUUUGACAAUCGGUAUAGAGGGAGCUAAAAUCGGUAGCUUUAACUUGAGGGAGGGUAGGAAGGAGAAGAGGGGGGUAUUUGGGGGAAACCUGGGGGAGCCCCCGCCCCCAUACGCGACACGGAAACAGAAAACAACAUCCGCGGAACUUUCACGGAAAAACCGCUUGAAUGGCUUUCAAGCUUCUACUACCUUCCGGGUGGCACAUGACAACAAAAUACAACCCUCAGAAAAGGGUAACAUAAACAUAGGUGAGAUAAGUGGUCGCUGGUUGUAGUCUGGAGGUCAUUGACCGAGAAUGAAUUGACAUACAUUUGCUAUGCACCAAUGACCCAGUCAGCUGGAUCGGCGUUGCCGUUGUGGCGCUUAAAUAUCUGAUUUACAGGUUAAAACAGAUCAACAAAUGAAAGUUAAGGAAAGACUGGACAGGGCCGUCGACGACUCAUCGGGAACAAUUAUGUACACAACAGCAUCAGUCAUAAUGGUAAAGAAAAAAGAAAUCGAAGUUGAUACGACUUUCAGAAAACACAACUGACUUCCGGGUAAUAUAUCCUCAGUGGCGAACUGACAACACUGUAAUUGGGCUCACAAUAGCGUCUGAUACUCGCUCUGUGAGAACUUCGUCGCGGAGAGAGAUAAGUUGCUGCGAGUGCUGUAAACAGCAAUAUGAAAUCGCUGGAAAAAUUGAGCCCAAUAAUUCCACACACAUCAACAAUACAUAUUGAAAAUUCGAGCGGAAAUCGUCCCGCGUCGGUUCUAGCAGAACCCGGACUCAAUAACACAUACCAUCUUCGGGCAAUCAGGUGGUACGGGUGGCUACCUCGACCACAACGCAUAUCACAAGCUUGCUUUAGAAGCUCAUGAGAGAAGGCGAUGUAGAAAUACCAGGAUUCCAUGUAAAUUCGGGGCAUGGCACACAAGACUCAUAGUUCUGACUUACACGGGUGAAUCUAGAAGCAUUAGAAAUUGAAAGCUGACGGGUUUCACUUUCCCACAUUCAGGACCUAGUGUAUAUCAUUGCGCGCGCCAUUCUUGGGUGUUUUACAGCUUUUGUAUUGCAGAUACGGCCAAACGGACGAAAUUUUUGUCCCUCUAGGACCGUAACUCGGCGUUUUCCAUGGGAAAACAGUGUUACUUUAUCUAAAAACCUCAAAUUUCAACCUGUGUCACUUAAGUCGUUUGAGCACCGGGUAAAAAUUGUUUUAAAUUUUUUUCCUUGUACGAGGCUUCUAGUCUAUCCACACAUCAACUUUUAAGACCAGGACCUCCUUCGAAUUCGAGAAUUUAAAAAAUAAGAAACACCCUAAUGUCCGUUGAUUUUGUUGAAGUUCUUCCUCUUCUUUUUCUUCCUUUCUUUACUCUUUAGUCAACAGUGAAUUAAAUUCGAGUGCGUCGGCUGAUAAUGAUGCUAUUUUACACAAGGAUAUAACGAAUACCUCUCGAGUAUGUUUGAGUAAUAAUUAUAAUAAACUUCAAACGUGGAAAGGAGCUUGAAGAACGUAUGGAUGUGUGCUAUAUUUGGCGCAGAUUACGAAGGACGAUCAAAAUACUCUGCGGAUGCAUCGAUGUUCGAAAUAAAACUUCCGUUUGCUAUACUUAGAAAUCGUCCGAAUGGAGAAUUUGCAUGAAAUUUUUUUAUUGCUUCAUCUGAAAGCACUUCAAGAGCUGAUCUCACUGUAUUUUUUAAAAUUUUUUUCUGAUAUGGGAAAUAGUAUUAAA